RNAcentral lists this ribosomal RNA (252 nucleotides) under Pycnococcus provasolii. RNAcentral describes it as "partial Bacterial large subunit ribosomal RNA". It matches the Rfam family "Bacterial large subunit ribosomal RNA", at positions 1361 to 1665 of the family's 2925-position model. Lineage: Eukaryota; Viridiplantae; Chlorophyta; Pseudoscourfieldiophyceae; Pseudoscourfieldiales; Pycnococcaceae. The record is from RNAcentral.
AAGGUAAAUCCGCCCAGGGUUAGUCGGGAGCUUAGACGAGGCCGAAGGGCGUAGUCGAUGCACAGCAGGUUAAUAUUCCUGCACCGAUCGUAAAGGUUGAACCAGACAUGCGCCUUAUUGACCAUGAGCCCCCGGCUAGACGUGGGGGUUUCGCAAGAUCGAGCCCGCUUUGUUGGCGAAGUCAUGCAAGAUGGGGCCGAGAAAAGUGUUCUGGGGACGAUACGAUUGUCCGUACUAAAACUGACACAGGUA